RNAcentral lists this long non-coding RNA (413 nucleotides) under Pan troglodytes (chimpanzee). RNAcentral's name for it is "long non-coding RNA NONPTRT012715". The record is from RNAcentral. Lineage: Eukaryota; Metazoa; Chordata; Mammalia; Primates; Hominidae.
CCCGGCCUCUUUCUAUGUGGAACCUAGAACUGGAACCUGGAAUUUGAACUGCAGAUACAGACAACUACACAUGUCUUUCAAGAACAGUUUGCUGGGUGUUGACCAACAUCAAACUGCUUACCCAGGAACCACUAGAAGUGAAUCUCUUCUUGAGUAUUCCAUACUGCUGCCCCUGCUAUUCACUUGGGGUCCCAGUCAGUUGUUACUAUAUAUUUGUCAUCUAUUGUGAGAGUCGUUAUAUCACCUACCACAUCAGUGAUACUGAGAAGGAACAAGUCUGCCAAAGAUGCUUCACAGUUAGUUGUUACCUUUUUAAGAAGACUGUGCUUGAAAAUUAUGGUAAAACACAUUUAGAAGAAGGAUGUGCAUUUUCACAUCAGUCUAUGAAGUAUAACUUGACAUUUAAAUUAAAA